UACGUAGGGGGCAAGCGUUAUCCGGAUUUACUGGGUGUAAAGGGAGCGUAGGCGGCUUAUCAAGUUAGAUGUGAAAUCCCGCGGCUUAACCGCGGAACUGCAUCUAAAACUGGUAAGCUGGAGUGCAGGAGAGGUGAGUGGAAUUCCUAGUGUAGCGGUGGAAUGCGUAGAUAUUAGAGGAACAUCAGUGGCGAAGGCGACUUUCUGGACUGUAACUGACGCUGAGGCACGAAAGUGUGGGGAGCAAACAGG
RNAcentral lists this ribosomal RNA (252 nucleotides) under uncultured Eubacteriales bacterium. RNAcentral describes it as "uncultured Clostridiales bacterium partial 16S ribosomal RNA". It matches the Rfam family "Bacterial small subunit ribosomal RNA", at positions 524 to 776 of the family's 1533-position model. Lineage: Bacteria; Bacillati; Bacillota; Clostridia; Eubacteriales. The record is from RNAcentral.